Molecule: long non-coding RNA, 2012 nt
Organism: Vicia villosa (hairy vetch)
Lineage: Eukaryota; Viridiplantae; Streptophyta; Magnoliopsida; Fabales; Fabaceae
Exons: 5
Source: RefSeq, a predicted model, not a curated record
AAAUAAUUUGUAUAAUUGCAGAGAUAACCUUGUAAGGUUUACGCUACUCUAUUUCAAUGAAGCCAAUUUUUGUAUUUCAGGAAAAUCAAACAAAAAAAGAGAAAACAAUUGAAACAAAAAGAGGGAAGUAGCGCUUCAGGGAACGACAAUACGGUGACAAAGAGGGCAGGGAUGGUGAUUCAGUGUGAGAGGGCUUUGAUUUCGGUGAUGAACGGUGGAGAUGACAUCAGCGGCGGUGGAACCUUCUCGGACGGGGUUCUCGCGGUGGUUUUAGUUGAUGGUCGGCGAAGGUAUAGGUCUGAUGCGUGUUGGUUUUUGAUUUCACGGGGCGUUUAGAUGGUGUCUUCACGGCAUGAACAAUGCCGCUGAAUGGUCAGGGAUUUUGGCAGAAAAACUCCGGCCGGUGGUUACGAUGUCCUUCAGAAUUCCUCGUCACAGCUAUCGUUCUAUACCGCCAUCAGAGAGAAUCCCAAAGUACGAAAGCCCUAAUUUGGACUCCAUUAUGGAUUCGUUUGAGAUGUAAGCUCGCUUGGUGAAGAAUAUAAUAUAUAAAUGAUGAGGAGAUUUCUAUCAAUGUGCUAUUUCAUUGGCAUGGUUACUAUGAACUAUUAGAGACCUUAUGACCAAAAAAAUUAAUACACAUUUAGUGCAGUACAUAUCUGUCACCUCUCGCGUAUAAUAGUAUCUGUCACCUACAGUAUGAGACAUGAAGAAUUCUGAAAUAUGAAUAUUAGAACAUUUUUCUGCUUCUUUUAGAACAGUUGUUUUAUGGUUGUGGAGCUAAGGACUGCACAAAAGCUUUUUCGUGCUGCUGAAUUUGUGUACAAACAUCUGAAGCUGAAACACGCAUCGCUUGCUGUUGAACAAACUUCAAAAUUGCGCAACGAUCUCUAUACUCAAAAUUACAUGAAAUCCAUAUGCUUCUGGUGGAAAGCCUGUUAUGCUGCAAUCUCAAGUGAACUACUAUACGCAUUGCUUGCCGUAAGUAUGAGAACAAUUUGUUGUUAGAAACUCACCCAUCUCAUAUGAUAGAGUCGAUGUUGGCCAGGGAUAACAUGAACUAACCAAUGUUUACAUUUCAGAUGCAAUUUUGUAUUACAUUUAUCAAACAUAUGAUUUGCAGGAUGUGGUAGAUGUUAUAUAAAAUAUAUCCAAGGAAAAUCAUCGUAAAACGAUUAGCAUACUUUCUAUGUCCGGUUGUGUAUCAAACAUUGUUGAUCUUACUCCGAACAAUCCCAAACACUGCAAGGGCAAAUUUGAGAUGCAUUUUAUGUCUACAAAAUGUCUCUCUGAUGAUGAUGGUCGUCAAUGUCGUGGAAAGGCAACGUGUAUCGUUACAUGCUGAGAUGAAAAGGAAAUUCUAUUAGUAAAUACUUCUGUCAUAGUGGCUGGCUAUGCUAAAACACCGAUAUUAACAGGUGCAAGAAUUUCAGCAUUUGCUGCUGUUGUGACUCGAAAUGAUGACAAAAGUCCCAUAGAAGCCAUCCUUCUUAAAGUAAGCAAAUCAUAUUUCUUCUAUUAUUUUCUUUACUAUUGACAGAAAUUCACGUGAGACUUAUAUUCAAAAUGGUAUAGAAUCUCCAUAACUUUGAAUUAACAAUCUUUAUCUUUUGGUUCAUUAAAUGAUUAAGGCCAAUUUUUAUCCAACUAAAGAAUACUCUACAAAAGGUUAUCAAAGAAGAACAAACAUUUACAUCUGGUUUUUUGCAACAGCUUAAUCAGUGGGAGAUGGGAACAUAGUAAAAUCCCACAUCAGCAACUAGUCUAGUGCUUCAAAUGCGCAGGACUUGAAGUCUCCUUCUGUAGUUGACAAUUGUUUGGUCAUGAAGUCUCCUUCUGCUGGGGACAUUUGAAAUUAAGUUUCUAAUCUUCUAUAAAACUGAAAAGUUCUUGUUUAAUUCUGGCGCCGAGAUUGUGUGUACACUCGGGAAAUGCUAUUCCAUAAACAUUAUUGUUUCCUCUUCUUUUCAGUUGAGUUUUUUAAGAAUGGAUGAUUAGAAAUUUAAUUGUCA